This 768-nucleotide long non-coding RNA is filed under the name Salmo salar (Atlantic salmon). RNAcentral describes it as "lncRNA (ENSSSAG00000088424.1)". Lineage: Eukaryota; Metazoa; Chordata; Actinopteri; Salmoniformes; Salmonidae. The record is from RNAcentral.
GCAUAAAUUGCAUAUGUUGUUAUUUAGUGUAACUCAGGCUAUGGCAGGCAAGUAACUAUCUGGCUUCAAGAGGAGCCAUUGCUCUUUCGCCCAUCGACUAUUUAUAGUUUUACCUCUGGGUUUAUUUAUAAGAUACAAUUUUGAAUAAAUGUAGUAAUUUCUGUGAAUAAUGUAUCUCUUGGUGAGCAAUAGUUCUCACAGUAAAGGAAAAUGUGCAUCUCUGUUUCUACCUCCCGUCGUGCAGCGAUCACAUACACAGCAGGUAGCCUAGUGGUUAGAGCGUUGGGCCAGUAACCAGCAGGUAGCCUAGUGGUUAGAGCGUUGGGCCAGUAACCAGCAGGUAGCCUAGUGGUUAGAGCGUUGGGCCAGUAACCAGCAGGUAGCCUAGUGGUUAGAGCGUUGGGCCAGUAACCAGCAGGUAGCCUAGUGGCUAGAGCGUUGGGCCAGUAACCAGCAGGUUGCCUAGUGGUUAGAGUGUUGGGCCAGUAACCAGCAGGUAGUCUAGUGGUUAGAGUGUUGGACCAGUAACCAGCAGGUAGACUAGUGGUUAGAGCGUUGGGCCAGUAACCAGCAGGUAGCCUAGUGGUUAGAGCAUUGGGCCAGUAACCAGCAGGUAGCCUAGUGGUUAGAGUGGAGGGCCAAUAACCGAAAGGUUGCUUGAUCGAAUCCCUGAGCUGACAAGGUAAAAAUCAGUCGUUCUGCCCCUGAACAAGGCAGUUAACUCACUGUUCCUAGACUGUCAUUGUAAAUAACAAUUUGUUCUUAACU